GUGGGGAAUCUUCCGCAAUGGACGAAAGUCUGACGGAGCGACGCCGCGUGAGUGAAGAAGGCCUUCGGGUCGUAAAGCUCUGUCAUCAGGGACGAACGGCCGGUGGAGUGGAAAGCCACCGGAUUGACGGUACCUGAGAAGGAAGCCACGGCUAACUACGUGCCAGCAGCCGCGGUAAUACGUAGGUGGCAAGCGUUGUCCGGAAUUAUUGGGCGUAAAGCGCGCGCAGGUGGGAUCUUAAGUCCAUUUUUAAAGUUCGGAGCUCAACUCCGUGAUGGGAUGGAAACUGGGAUUCUUGAGUACCGGAGAGGAAAGCGGAAUUCCCCGUGUAGCGGUGAAAUGCGUAGAUAUGGGGAGGAACACCAGUGGCGAAGGCGGCUUUCUGGACGGUGUCUGACACUGAGGCGCGAAAGCCUGGGGAGCGAACGGGAUUAGAAACCCCGGUAGUCC
RNAcentral lists this ribosomal RNA (450 nucleotides) under uncultured bacterium. Its description in RNAcentral is "partial 16S ribosomal RNA". It matches the Rfam family "Bacterial small subunit ribosomal RNA", at positions 354 to 796 of the family's 1533-position model. The record is from RNAcentral.